This is a long non-coding RNA of Etheostoma spectabile (orangethroat darter), 1199 nucleotides long. RefSeq lists it as uncharacterized. The record is from RefSeq and is a predicted model, not a curated record. Lineage: Eukaryota; Metazoa; Chordata; Actinopteri; Perciformes; Percidae. The transcript has 2 exons.
GCUGGAUUUGCCUCACACUAGCCCAGGCUAUCCAUGUUAGCUGUGUGUAUACUGACUUCAGCAUUUAUCCGUGCGUUUCCCUGAUCAAGCUGACGGGAAGGCAGCGGCAGCGGCGGCAGCAGCAGCAGCAGCGUAAUAAAGAGACAUGGCUGGAAAACACAAACCCAGAUGCUGCGUGGAGUAAAAGAGGAAACCAGAUGAAUGAUGAUCAGUGAAUUUUAAGAGAAAAAUCAGAGAGAAGGAAAGUGAUGUGUUGACAGCGUGGAGAAAUUGAAUUAGCAGCUGCAGCGCCGGGAACAUUGAAUCAUAUUAGGAGCGCAGCAGAGGAGCAGAGGCUACCUGCAGGCCGGAGGGAGAGGCUCCUCACCCCUCUGCUUUCACUCAGGCCCACGGAGAGCCCCCCCCCCCACAGCACGGAGGACAAGAUCCCAUCAGGAAUCCUUCAACAUGACACAAAACAUAACGACAUCCACGGAAUAUUCACAACUUCUCAUCAAGACUGGAAAGACAAAACCAUGGGGGGGGGGGGGGGGGUCUUUAGUUUAGUUGGCAUAGUUAAGUCAUAUUUCAGUGUUUGGUUAUUUCCAAAACACCAGUACAAUCAGUAUAAUAAUUUCUAAUUCUAACCGGCGAGACAUGAAUUUAGCCUACUUAAAGAUAUGAAAAAAAGAACCAAGUUGGAACAAUAUAUAAAUCAGCCGAUGUUGCGAUUAAAUAUUAUUGCAAAAUCGAAGAUAAUAUUUUCUUUGAGAUCUGAUUAUUUGCGGCUUCGAGACGCAGUGAAAAUGAUUAAAACUGCUAAUGUGUUCCUUUGCAGUAUUGUCACAUAAUUCCGUCGUUGGUCAAGUAAGCGAGUUGAAUAUAUAACUAGGCUGUGAGUGGAGUCAGACUUCAGACUUCAAAUAACCGUGCCCCCCCCCAAAAAAAAAUAGUCAACUGUCAUAUGUCUUCUAUCAGAUUAUGUUGCACACUGUGAAUUCAUAUUUGCUAAUUUAAAAUGAAAGCGAGCCUAUAGGCUACAUGUAGCAGCCUAAACUGAGUUCAGGUAAGGUGAUCCGUGCUUCCUCUUCUCUACAGGUAAGUGCUUUAUUAGGGAUUGUAAAAAUCCCACAAACCUGAACCAGCACUGAGAAUGGACACUGAUUAAUGGGUUUCUUGAAGGAUAAAUAUGGAGGAUGGAACUGAAGCUGAUCCAGAAA